GGGGCUGACUUGGUUUUGACAUUUAAAGAUUAAGUAAGGUAUGAUGCAGGUCGAAGCCGCUAUUCUUCGUAAAAAACAUACAAUAUUAGAAUAAAUGCUAACAAUAUAAUUCCUUUUAACUUCAAACAGAUUAAUAAGAAUUCAAAUUCUUUCGCUUUUGCAGUUUAGUCUAUAAUAUAUCUUGUUAAAUUUAUUUGUUCACUAUAACUAGACUUUUCGUUUUUUUAUAGUUUAGAAUAAUACUAUAUUUUGUUCUAUUAAAUGAACUAUACCUGUGAACGAGUACUUUAAUAAAAUUUAAAUGGACGUGGGUUCGAUUCCCAUCAGCUCCA
Molecule: transfer-messenger RNA, 332 nt
Filed under: Chaetoceros pseudocurvisetus
Lineage: Eukaryota; Bacillariophyta; Thalassiosirophyceae; Chaetocerotales; Chaetocerotaceae
Description: ssra
Rfam family: transfer-messenger RNA
About the family: Bacterial tmRNA, also known as 10Sa RNA or SsrA, is named for its dual tRNA and mRNA-like properties.
Source: RNAcentral